This 253-nucleotide ribosomal RNA is filed under the name uncultured bacterium. RNAcentral's name for it is "partial 16S ribosomal RNA". It matches the Rfam family "Bacterial small subunit ribosomal RNA", at positions 524 to 776 of the family's 1533-position model. The record is from RNAcentral.
UACGUAGGGGGCAAGCGUUGUCCGGAAUCAUUGGGCGUAAAGCGCGUGUAGGCGGUCCGAUUAGUCGGCUGUGAAAGUCAAGGGCUCAACCCUUGAAUGCCGGUCGAUACUGUCGGACUAGAGUCCGGAAGAGGAGAGUGGAAUUCCUGGUGUAGCGGUGAAAUGCGCAGAUAUCAGGAAGAACACCCGUGGCGAAGGCGGCUCUCUGGGACGGUACUGACGCUGAGACGCGAAAGCGUGGGGAGCGAACAGG